Molecule: unclassified non-coding RNA, 228 nt
Filed under: uncultured fungus
Lineage: Eukaryota; Fungi
Description: sequence contains ITS1
Source: RNAcentral
GUAUUUCAUUUCGCCAUACGGCAGAUAAACAUCCAAUAAUUUUAACUGAGAGUGUAUGAAUUUCGAAAGCAGGUUUUUAAAAAUAAAAAUAAAAAUCCUGCCUUCAAAAUCUAAGUGCACAGGUGUAAAUGGACUAGGAGAGCGAGCACAUGCAGUCCAAAAAAAGGACUACCAGCAUCAACUCCCUGUAAUUCGUUAAUGAUCCUUCCGCAGGUUCACCUACGGAAA